GGCCAUGUUUUUCCACAGCUUUCUUGAACUUAAAAUUUCUUUGUUCAUUCACCAACUAACUACAUAAUAUCUCAAUUCUAAACAAAGCUUUGAAGCUCAAGAAAGCUGUGGGAAAUCAUGACAC
This is a non-coding RNA of Cucumis melo (muskmelon), 124 nucleotides long. Lineage: Eukaryota; Viridiplantae; Streptophyta; Magnoliopsida; Cucurbitales; Cucurbitaceae. The record is from Rfam.